UGAAUACGAGACGCUACGGCGUCGAAGCAGUCUAUGUCAGACUUCCAAGAAAAGCUCGCAAUGUCAUAAACAAAUAAUGCCUGUACCAUAACCGACACAGGUGGGUAGGUAGAGUAUACUAAGGGGCGCGAGAUAACUCUCUCUAAGGAACUCGGCAAAAUGACUCCGUAACUUCGGGAGAAGGAGUGCCUUAUUUAUAAGGUUGCAAUAACAAGAUCCAAGCAACUGUUUAUCAAAAACACAGGUCUCCGCUAAGUCGUAAGACGAUGUAUGGGGGCUGACGCCUGCCCAGUGCCAGAAGGUUAAAGAAGUUGGUUAGCAUUCGCGAAGCUGAUAACUGAAGCCCUGGUGAACGGCGGCCGUAACUAUAACGGUCCUAAGGUAGCGAAAUUCCUUGUCGGGUAAGUUCCGACCCGCACGAAAGGCGUAAUGAUUUGGAUACUGUCUCGGAGAGGGGCUCGGUGAAAUAGACUUGUCUGUGAAGAUGCGGACUACCUGCACCUGGACAGAAAGACCCUAUGAAGCUUUACUGUAACUUGAAAUUGAAAUUGGACUUUAUUUGCGCAGCAUAGGUGGGAGGCGUUGAGAGUAUUCUUGCGGGAAUAUUGGAGCCAUCAGUGAGAUACCACUCUUGUAAUGUUAGAUUUCUAACUUUGUAUCAUUAUCUGGUCAAAGAACAGUUUCAGGCGGGCAGUUUGACUGGGGCGGUCGCCUCCCAAACGGUAACGGAGGCGUACAAAGGUUUCCUCUGAACGGGUAGAAAUCGUAUCUAGAGUGUAAAGGCAUAAGGAAGCUUGACUGUGAGACCUACAAGUCGAGCAGGGACGAAAGUCGGUCUUAGUGAUCUGACGGUGCUGAGUGGAAAGGCCGUCACUCAACGGAUAAAAGUUACUCUAGGAUAACAGGCUGAUCUCCCCCAAGAGUUCACAUCGACGGGGAGGUUUGGCACCUCGAUGUCGGCUCAUCGCAUCCUGGGGCGGUAGUACGUCCCAAGGGUUGGGCUGUUCGCCCAUGAAAGCGGUACGCGAGCUGGGUUCAGAACGUCGUGAGACAGUUCGGUCCAUAUCCGGUGUAGGCGUUAGAAUAUUGAGAGGAGCCUUCUUUAGUACGAGAGGACCGAGAAGGACAUACCUCUGGUGUACCAGUUAUCGUGCCAACGGUAAACGCUGGGUAGCUAUGUAUGGAGAGGAUAACCGCUGAAAGCAUCUAAGUGGGAAGCCCACCUCAAGAUAAG
This 1234-nucleotide ribosomal RNA is filed under the name metagenome. RNAcentral describes it as "bacterial LSU rRNA". It matches the Rfam family "Bacterial large subunit ribosomal RNA", at positions 1564 to 2808 of the family's 2925-position model. The record is from RNAcentral.